Molecule: long non-coding RNA, 666 nt
Filed under: Equus caballus (horse)
Lineage: Eukaryota; Metazoa; Chordata; Mammalia; Perissodactyla; Equidae
Description: lncRNA (ENSECAG00000056868.1)
Source: RNAcentral
GUCCAGCAUGAUAGAAGCCAGGACAGCUGCACUGCCGUGGUCAUCCGAGACCUCACAGAGCUUCUUGUUUCAGAAUUCCGAGAGCUAGCCCAAUCUGCUCUGAAGCAUGCUAGAGACCAAGUUAUUUCUUUCUUCUCCCCCUCUGCCUCCUUUUUUUUCCUCAUGCCACUCAGUUCUCCUAGGCUCCUCUUCAAAGAUUUGAUGAAGAUAAAAAUUCAUUUUUGAGCCAGGAUGUGUCACUAGCUGGGAAAUGAGAAGCCAAUGAAUCACAGUAGGAGGCCGCGAGUUUCUGGUUGACCUUCGGUCGAAGUGAACACCUUAAUUCUCCAGGGCUAAGAAGGACUUCAUGUAGCUGAUAGGCAGUUGGAAUAGAGAAGCUCUGAAGCUCUUUCCAUCUCAGGGAUCUGAGAUUUCCUAAGGCAACUGGAGUGAAGAUCCCGCCACUGCUCAGAGGACUACUGCGCUGCUUACUACUGAUCCUAGGAAUCCCACAUCCUCUUUCUGGCCUCCAAUACUGACCAUCAAUACUUCUCAGACCCCCUUCUCACCACCUCAGUUCUCCUGAUUCAUUAAUAUGCUAUCCUCCCUCCUAUAAAGGAAAUAUACCUGCCACUACAGGAAUGUGAUCUCAACUGUCUGAUUUUUUAUCCCUUUAACCAUUUCAAC